Molecule: long non-coding RNA, 348 nt
Organism: Bombus pyrosoma
Lineage: Eukaryota; Metazoa; Arthropoda; Insecta; Hymenoptera; Apidae
Exons: 3
Source: RefSeq, a predicted model, not a curated record
UGAUGGCCGGUGGCUGCUUUCGCAGAAGUAUAUCGAUCGGCUUCGGUGCUGACACGCAAAGUUGGCUGCUACGACAUAUAUGAUUCGAGCAACAUUCCGGAUCCGCACAAUCGAUGAGACCGUCUGGAAAAGUAUAGUAAUGGGUUCUUUAUAUCGGAGACUAAUGGCUCUAAAUGGCUGGCAUAAGCCACACCCAUGAUUUAGAGCUCGAAGUAAUAUGAAAAUGAAACGCGAAAACACGAAGUAACAAGUUCCUAAGAAACAAUUACACGUUUUUUGAUUUGGUGCGUCAAUGGAAUACUUUCAAACAUACUCAAACAUAUUUCUAUCUCUAGAACCCUACUUAAG